AUUGAACGCUGGCGGCAGGCCUAACACAUGCAAGUCGAGCGGAUGAAGGGAGCUUGCUCCUGGAUUCAGCGGCGGACGGGUGAGUAAUGCCUAGGAAUCUGCCUGGUAGUGGGGGAUAACGUCCGGGAACGGCGCUAAUACCGCAUACGUCCUGAGGGAGAAAGUGGGGGGUCUUCGGACCUCACGCUAUCAGAUGAGCCUAGGUCGGAUUAGCUAGUUGGUGGGGUAAAGGCCUACCAAGGCGACGAUCCGUAACUGGUCUGAGAGGAUGAUCAGUCACACUGGAACUGAGACACGGUCCAGACUCCUACGGGAGGCAGCAGUGGGGAAUAUUGGACAAUGGGCGAAAGCCUGAUCCAGCCAUGCCGCGUGUGUGAAGAAGGUCUUCGGAUUGUAAAGCACUUUAAGUUGGGAGGAAGGGCAGUAAGUUAAUACCUUGCUGUUUUGACGUUACCAACAGAAUAAGCACCGGCUAACUUCGUG
RNAcentral lists this ribosomal RNA (483 nucleotides) under uncultured bacterium. RNAcentral's name for it is "partial 16S ribosomal RNA". It matches the Rfam family "Bacterial small subunit ribosomal RNA", at positions 30 to 507 of the family's 1533-position model. The record is from RNAcentral.